This is a regulatory RNA element of Capnocytophaga ochracea DSM 7271, 37 nucleotides long. It matches the Rfam family "DUF805b RNA". From Rfam's summary of the family: Bacteroidetes, Chlorobi (1 example), Proteobacteria. Lineage (Flavobacteria) The record is from Rfam. Lineage: Bacteria; Pseudomonadati; Bacteroidota; Flavobacteriia; Flavobacteriales; Flavobacteriaceae.
AAGGCGACACCCCGAAAAGCCUUUAACAGAGUAGGGA